UCCAAAUGUCCCAGAAUCCUCCAGAACAUAAGUGCCCCGGGAGCAGGGACUUCUUGUAUCUUGUUCUCGGCUUAUCUCCAGUGCAGCAUCAGAUGCUCAGUGAAGAUUUGGUAAAUGAAUGAAUGAACGUGAAAUCAUGUGUGUUUUCCCCAACAUUUCCACCAGUGGGGAAGCUUUUCCUUCACUCUAUGCUCAUCCAGCCCAGGGGUUAUGAACCCAAUUUUCAAAGUAAAGAGCUCAGGUUUAGACAGGUUUAAUGACUCACUCAUUUCUUUACAGGGAUCAACUGGGACUUGAACUCAGAACACUGGGCUUCCAGCGUAUUCUGUGUUGUGUGCUAGGGGUGCUGCGCCAUGCUGUGGGUCAGAGUAUAGACUCGGGGCACAGGCAGACCUGGCUGAAGUCCUAACCUGCCUUUCCACAGGUGUGUCAUGAUGCCGGUAGCACCUCCCACCCCCGGAUAUGGCAACUGAAAAUGUCUUCAGAUGCGUCAAAAAUUUCCUCUCGGGGGCAGCAUGGCCCCUGCAUGGGAACCACUAGAGUGGAGCACCUAGCCCGGUGCCAGGCACAGGGGACUGUUACUUUAUUAUCAUUAUUAUUAUCAUCAGGAUGAUUGUCCAUGGGCGCAGGGGCCUCAUCUGUCUUGUUUACUGCAGCAUCCCUGGGGCCUGCCCUGGCCUGGCACAUAGUAGGUGCUCAGUGCUUGGGACUGCAGCCCCCAGGCUCCACUGCCAGCAGCCUGGGGUCUCCUCUGUGCAGCUGGAUGGCUUCUUCCUGAUGCCCCGUCUGCCAAAGAAACAGCAGUGGACUCUCAAGGAAGGAGCAGUUUCUUGGGAUUUUCAAUCUCUCUCUCUCUGUUCCUGUUCUCACUCUCCAGUACCGUGCCAGCUGGACUCUGGCAGAGCUGGUGGCAAAAUGACAGGGAUCCAAGGUUUCAGGCCUUUUGCUCCGACUUUUAUCCCCCGAUUUCAUGCAGCUGCAGCUCUUGCUGCCACUCAGCUGGAGAAAUGUCAAAACUAUAUUAAAUCAUAGGGCAUGAGUGAGCAGUAAGAUGACACUUGUCACCCACCUCUUGCUGUUUCCGAGGCUCUUGCGCCCUGACUUGGCCUGUCUUGUGCUCUGAGGGCUUUGCUCAUUUCCCCUGCCCUGCUCCGUAAUCACAUCUGUGGAAUUUGAAGUGACUUUCCUGGAAUGAGACCUGGAGGAGGUGGGGUACAUUUGUCCACAAGACAUAGGAAGUGGUGGCCAACAUGCCAGGCCCAGGAGCCCAAGCCAGGGUGGUGCAGGGGCGCAGGGUCCAGCAGAACCGACCUGUUAAAGGCAGCUGACAGCUGGAGUUACUUUUUCCCCUUUAAAUUGUUUUAAUAUAUUUUAACCGCUUGAUUGAAGUAUAACUGAUACAUGAUGAACUGUCCUAUUUAAAAUGUUCAAUUUGAUGUUUGACAUACAUAUACACCCAUGAAACUAUCCCCACGAUUAAGAUAGUGGACAAAUCCAUCACCCCAAACUUUCCCUGUGCCCCUUGGUAAUCCCCCCAAUCCACCCCUAUCAACUGCCCUCUGCUGAUCUGCUUGUUGUCUCUAUGGAUUAGAUUUCAUUUUCUAGAAUUUUAUAUCAAUGGAAUCAUGCAGUGUCCACUCUUUUGUUCGGACUGACUUCUUUCACACAGCAUAAUUAUAUUGAAAUUUAUUUAUGUUGUUGUGUAUAUCAUUCGUUCACUAUGUUUUUAAUUCCAGUGUAUGGAUGUGCAACAGUUUGUUUAUCCAUUCACUUGUUAAUGGGCGUUUGAGUUGUUGCCAGUUUUGGGGCUUUUAUGAAUAAAACUGCUAUGAACAUUUGUGUACAAGCCUUUGUAUAGAAAGUGCUUUCCUUUAUUUGGGACAAAUACCAGAGUGCAAUGACUGGAUCAUAUGGCAGAUACAUGUUUUUUAAGUUUUUAAGACACUAACAUAUGUGCCAUCUCCCAAAGCAGUAUAUAGCACUAGUGUAUAAGUUUUAGUUCCUCCAUAUCCUCACCAACACUCAGUCAUGGUAAUUUGACCUAAUGUCUAAUG
RNAcentral lists this long non-coding RNA (2054 nucleotides) under Homo sapiens (human). Its description in RNAcentral is "HSALNT0004044". The record is from RNAcentral. Lineage: Eukaryota; Metazoa; Chordata; Mammalia; Primates; Hominidae.